Molecule: ribosomal RNA, 914 nt
Filed under: uncultured bacterium
Lineage: Bacteria
Description: SSU rRNA
Rfam family: Bacterial small subunit ribosomal RNA
Source: RNAcentral
AGAGUUUGAUCCUGGCUCAGAUUGAACGCUGGCGGCAUGCGUUACACAUGCAAGUCGAACGGCAGCACGGACUUCGGUCUGGUGGCGAGUGGCGAACGGGUGAGUAAUAUAUCGGAACGUACCUUUCAGUGGGGGAUAACGUAGCGAAAGUUACGCUAAUACCGCAUAUUCUGUGAGCAGGAAAGCAGGGGAUCGCAAGACCUUGCGCUGAUUGAGCGGCCGAUAUCAGAUUAGCUAGUUGGUGAGGUAAAGGCUCACCAAGGCGACGAUCUGUAGCGGGUCUGAGAGGAUGAUCCGCCACACUGGAACUGAGACACGGUCCAGACUCCUACGGGAGGCAGCAGUGGGGAAUUUUGGACAAUGGGGGCAACCCUGAUCCAGCCAUGCCGCGUGAGUGAAGAAGGCCUUCGGGUUGUAAAGCUCUUUCGGCCGGGAAGAAAUCGUGUGGGCUAAUACCCCAUAUGGAUGACGGUACCGGAAUAAGAAGCACCGGCUAACUACGUGCCAGCAGCCGCGGUAAUACGUAGGGUGCGAGCGUUAAUCGGAAUUACUGGGCGUAAAGCGUGCGCAGGCGGUUUUGUAAGACAGGCGUGAAAUCCCCGGGCUCAACCUGGGAACUGCGUUUGUGACUGCAAGGCUAGAGUAUGGCAGAGGGGGGUGGAAUUCCACGUGUAGCAGUGAAAUGCGUAGAGAUGUGGAGGAACACCGAUGGCGAAGGCAGCCCCCUGGGCCAAUACUGACGCUCAUGCACGAAAGCGUGGGUAGCAAACAGGAUUAGAUACCCUGGUAGUCCACGCCCUAAACGAUGUCAACUAGGUGUUGGGUGGGUAAAACCAUUUAGUACCGGAGCUAACGCGUGAAGUUGACCGCCUGGGGAGUACGGCCGCAAGGUUAAAACUCAAAUGAAUUGACGG